CCUACGGGUGGCUGCAGUAGGGAAUCUUCCGCAAUGGACGAAAGUCUGACGGAGCAACGCCGCGUGAGCGAAGAAGGUCUUCGGAUCGUAAAGCUCUGUUGUUAGGGAAGAACAAGUACGGGAGGAAAUGACCGUACCUUGACGGUACCUAACGAGGAAGCCACGGCUAACUACGUGCCAGCAGCCGCGGUAAUACGUAGGUGGCAAGCGUUGUCCGGAAUUAUUGGGCGUAAAGCGCGCGUAGGCGGCCCUGCAAGUCAGGUGUGAAAACUAUGGGCUUAACUCAUAGAUUGCACUUGAAACUGUGGGGCUUGAGUGAAGUAGAGGCAGGCGGAAUUCCCGGUGUAGCGGUGAAAUGCGUAGAGAUCGGGAAGAACACCAGUGGCGAAGGCGGCCUGCUGGACUUUAACUGACGCUGAGGCACGAAAGCGUGGGUAGCAAACAGGAUUAGAUACCCGGGUAGUC
RNAcentral lists this ribosomal RNA (465 nucleotides) under uncultured bacterium. RNAcentral's name for it is "bacterial SSU rRNA". It matches the Rfam family "Bacterial small subunit ribosomal RNA", at positions 338 to 795 of the family's 1533-position model. The record is from RNAcentral.